GCUUUCAUGGUGUAGUGGUCAGCACGCUGGGCGCGUAUUCUAGAGGUCCGUGGUUCGAGUCCCGGCGAAGGCG
RNAcentral lists this transfer RNA (73 nucleotides) under Stegodyphus mimosarum. It matches the Rfam family "tRNA". Rfam says of the family: Transfer RNA (tRNA) molecules are approximately 80 nucleotides in length. The record is from Rfam by way of RNAcentral. Lineage: Eukaryota; Metazoa; Arthropoda; Arachnida; Araneae; Eresidae.